GACGAACGCUGGCGGCGGGCUUAACACAUGCAAGUCGAACGGAAAGGCCCUGCUUUUGUGGGGUGCUCGAGUGGCGAACGGGUGAGUAACACGUGAGUAACCUGCCCCUGACUUUGGGGUAACUUCAGGAAACUAGGGCUAAUACCGGCUCGGAGCUCCUGCUGCAUGGUGGGGGUGGGAAAGUUUCGGCGGGUGGGGAUGGACUCGCGGCUUAUCAGCUUGUUGGUGGGGUAGUGGCUGACCCAGGCUUUGACGGGUAGCCGGCCUGAGAGGGUGACCGGCGACAUGGGGCCUGAGAUACGGACCAGACUGCUACGGGAGGCAGCAGGGGGGAACAUUGCACAAUGGGGGGAAGCCUGAUGCAGCAACGUCGCGUGCGGGAUGACGGCCUUCGGGUUGUGAACCGCUUUCGCCUGUGACGAAGCGUGAGUGACGGUAAUGGGUAAAGAAGCACCGGCUAACUACGUG
RNAcentral lists this ribosomal RNA (468 nucleotides) under uncultured bacterium. RNAcentral describes it as "partial 16S ribosomal RNA". It matches the Rfam family "Bacterial small subunit ribosomal RNA", at positions 28 to 507 of the family's 1533-position model. The record is from RNAcentral.